AGGGGGACCUUCGGGCCUCUUGCCAUCGGAUGUGCCCAGAUGGGAUUAGCUAGUAGGUGGGGUAACGGCUCACCUAGGCGACGAUCCCUAGCUGGUCUGAGAGGAUGACCAGCCACACUGGAACUGAGACACGGUCCAGACUCCUACGGGAGGCAGCAGUGGGGAAUAUUGCACAAUGGGCGCAAGCCUGAUGCAGCCAUGCCGCGUGUAUGAAGAAGGCCUUCGGGUUGUAAAGUACUUUCAGCGGGGAGGAAGGGAGUAAAGUUAAUACCUUUGCUCAUUGACGUUACCCGCAGAAGAAGCACCGGCUAACUCCGUGCCAGCAGCCGCGGUAAUACGGAGGGUGCAAGCGUUAAUCGGAAUUACUGGGCGUAAAGCGCACGCAGGCGGUUUGUUAAGUCAGAUGUGAAAUCCCCGGGCUCAACCUGGGAACUGCAUCUGAUACUGGCAAGCUUGAGUCUCGUAGAGGGGGGUAGAAUUCCAGGUGUAGCGGUGAAAUGCGUAGAGAUCUGGAGGAAUACCGGUGGCGAAGGCGGCCCCCUGGACGAAGACUGACGCUCAGGUGCGAAAGCGUGGGGAGCAAACAGGAUUAGAUACC
RNAcentral lists this ribosomal RNA (598 nucleotides) under Escherichia coli. Its description in RNAcentral is "bacterial SSU rRNA". It matches the Rfam family "Bacterial small subunit ribosomal RNA", at positions 202 to 786 of the family's 1533-position model. Lineage: Bacteria; Pseudomonadati; Pseudomonadota; Gammaproteobacteria; Enterobacterales; Enterobacteriaceae. The record is from RNAcentral.